This 1773-nucleotide long non-coding RNA is filed under the name Ananas comosus (pineapple). RNAcentral's name for it is "long non-coding RNA (ACOM_LNC012505)". Lineage: Eukaryota; Viridiplantae; Streptophyta; Magnoliopsida; Poales; Bromeliaceae. The record is from RNAcentral.
UGUCGAGUUCGAUUCAUAAAUAUAAAUUUAAAUUUUGAAAUAGAUUUUAAUUUUUAAAGUUUAGGUAUACAUUAAAAAUAGUUUUGUAUGUUAUGAAACACAUAGAAAAUAUUUACUGUACAUAAAUGAAUUGAAAACAUACUUAAAAAUAAAUCAAUUGAAAAUACAGAUUCAUAAUUCACUUUAAUUUAAAUUUUUGUACUUAAAUUUAAUUUAAAUUACAAAUAUGACGUGUCUCGCUCAUGCACUAUUAGCUAGUAAUAUAAAAAUAUUAUAAAACUUAUUUUUUAGAUAUUUUAAAUACUGUACAUUAAGUCUAAUGAAACUGAUUGUUGUUUCGACAGUUCCAUUAUCGAAAACAACUGAGAAUACAAAAUUCUUCGUACUUUUAAAAAUAUUCCAACUGGCUCUCUCUCUUUCUAUAAGUAUAUAGAGAGAGUUGGGUACAAAUUACACACUUUUAGAUUAUACAAUUAUUACACAAAGUAAAAUUCAAUCAUAGAAGCUUUAAAAUGAAGAUCCCUAGAAAGUGAUUUACAAUAAAAAAAAAGACCAACAUGCAAAGAAUCUUAUUUUUUGAAACUUUAUACUUUAGUUUUCAAUAUGUUUCUUUCUUGAAAAUUUCGGUGAUAGAGUUUUAGAAUUGACGAUCAAUACUGUUAAACAUAAUUUAGAAUACAUAAACAUUCUAGAAAUUAAAUUUCAUAAAUUUUAAACAUUAUCUCCCUUAUGAUCGAAAGGCCUUAAAAUUGGUAAAUUAAUAGUUAGUAUUAGGUGUUUAAUUUCUAGUGUAAAAGAAUUCAAAUGGAUUGAAUUUUCGAUAGAAAAUUUUAUACACUAUCUAAAUCUAGAUCAAUAACUCUAAUCUUGAAUUAAAGAAUCCGGCACAAUAUUUUUAGAAUGUUAUCGAUUUUGACCACUCAUUUUAUAUCGAUUUUGACCACUCAUUUUAUAUCUGCUUGAUAGACUCUUUCAAAAAAUUAUAAAAUUCAAUUUUUAAGUACUUCAAAUGUUGUUUAUCAUGUUUAACAAUAUAGAUAUCAUCAAUAUGGAAGUUUCAUUCAUCAAAAAUAAUUUAUGAAUAUAAAGGCCUAUGUAGUCAUAAGAGUAUAAUAUAUAACAUAACCCGCUCUCUUAAUAUAUAUAGAGAGAGAGAAAGAGAGAAAGAAAGAGGGGAGACAGUAGAGAGAGAGAGAGAAAGAGAGUUCGCCUACUGUACUAUUAUAAGUGCGGUCAUCUUUGUACUUAUAAAAUCUUUUUGAUGAUAGAAUUUUGGAAUCAACAAUUUAUGCCGUUAAAUAUAAUUUUUGAUGAUAGAGCAUCUAAACAUUCUAGAAAUCGAAUUUUAUAAAUUUUUUAAUACUAUAUACUUUACAAUCAAAGGGCCUCAAUAUUGACAUUUCAAUGGCCCGGCCUGAGAUAGUUUAACGGUGUAAAAGAAUCAAAAUUAGUUAAAUUUUUAAUAGAAAAUUCUAUGCAUUAUCUAGAUAAAGAUCAAUAACUUUGAUCUUAAAUUAAAAAAUUUGAUCUUCUAUUUUCAUGAAAACGUUUGAUUUUGAUCGUUCAUUUUGUACCCGCUUGAUGGUCUUUAUUAUAAUUUCAAAAAACUAUGAAUUUAAUUUCUAAAUACUUCAAAUGACAUAGGUCAUAUUUAACGGUGUGGAUUAUCAAUUCGAAAUAGCUCCAUCAUCGAAUAUAACUUAAUUAUGUCUAUUAAGACCUCCGUACUCAUACUAUAAGAAAAUGCGGUCGUAGAGCCGGAUUUUAGUUGUU